GUGGGGAAUUUUGGACAAUGGGCGCAAGCCUGAUCCAGCCAUGCCGCGUGCAGGAUGAAGGCCUUCGGGUUGUAAACUGCUUUUGUACGGAACGAAACGGCUCUUUCUAAUAAAGAGGGCUAAUGACGGUACCGUAAGAAUAAGCACCGGCUAACUACGUGCCAGCAGCCGCGGUAAUACGAAGGGUGCAAGCGUUAAUCGGAAUUACUGGGCGUAAAGCAUGCGCAGGCGGUGCUGUAAGACAGGCGUGAAAUCCCCGGGCUUAACCUGGGAAUUGCGCUUGUGACUGCAGUGCUGGAGUGCGGCAGAGGGGGAUGGAAUUCCGCGUGUAGCAGUGAAAUGCGUAGAUAUGCGGAGGAACACCGAUGGCGAAGGCAAUCCCCUGGGCCUGCACUGACGCUCAUGCACGAAAGCGUGGGGAGCAAACAGGAUUAGAAACCCGAGUAGUCC
Molecule: ribosomal RNA, 450 nt
Filed under: uncultured bacterium
Lineage: Bacteria
Description: bacterial SSU rRNA
Rfam family: Bacterial small subunit ribosomal RNA
Source: RNAcentral